GCGAACGCUGGCGGCAGGCCUAACCCCUGCAAGUCGAACGGAUCCUUCGGGAUUAGUGGCGGACGGGUGAGUAACACGUGGGAACGUGCCCUUUGGUUCGGAACAACUCAGGGAAACUUGAGCUAAUACCGGAUGUGCCCUUCGGGGGAAAGAUUUAUCGCCAUUGGAGCGGCCCGCGUCUGAUUAGCUAGUUGGUGAGGUAACGGCCCACCAAGGCGACGAUCAGUAGCUGGUCUGAGAGGAUGAUCAGCCACACUGGGACUGAGACACGGCCCAGACUCCUACGGGAGGCAGCAGUGGGGAAUCUUGCGCAAUGGGCGAAAGCCUGACGCAGCCAUGCCGCGUGAAUGAUGAAGGUCUUAGGAUUGUAAAAUUCUUUCAGCGGGGACGAUAAUGACGGUACCCGCAGAAGAAGCGCCGGCUAACUUCGUG
This 432-nucleotide ribosomal RNA is filed under the name uncultured bacterium. RNAcentral describes it as "partial 16S ribosomal RNA". It matches the Rfam family "Bacterial small subunit ribosomal RNA", at positions 29 to 507 of the family's 1533-position model. The record is from RNAcentral.